GUUGCCAAUAUGAUUACAUUCAUGUAAAACCCAACGGAAGCCACUCGCGGAGAGUUAAACCUUGAAACAAGAUGUUUAAUGCUUUGAAAAAUUAAGUUUGUUACAUUCUUCCAACGUUAGUGAUGGCGAUAUUCAGCAAGAAUGAAAAAGAGGAUUUCAAGUCAUGAAUUCUCCGCGAAACCAACUCGUGAUUAGUUCACCAGCUCCAUUGCUCGCAAGCUGAAAAGGAUCAAUCAAAAUGUGCAUUGAAGAGCUCUCAAUCGCAUUCUACGGACCAGUGCCCUGCUAAAAAUUAACUGAGUACUUCAAAGUAAAUACUAAAGUAUAAGCAAUACUAUGGAUUUUUUUUUUAAUCAAAACUGUAAAAAUGCAAGCCGUUGUUACAAAAAAAUUUUGUUACAUUUUUUUUCAUUUUUAUUUUAUCAGUUCGCUUAAGUCUAAGGAUAAAUUAAGUCUGAUAAGUAUAAAAACCAAGUAUCGAUGUGGAUCAACACAUUUACUUUUUUACUCUAAUUGAUUGAAAUCUUCUCUGAAGAUAUCUGAAACGUAUCAGGAUUCGUUGCACAUCCAGGACAGGUGUGGAGUGU
This 587-nucleotide long non-coding RNA is filed under the name Neodiprion pinetum (white pine sawfly). Its description in RNAcentral is "uncharacterized LOC124219363". The record is from RNAcentral. Lineage: Eukaryota; Metazoa; Arthropoda; Insecta; Hymenoptera; Diprionidae.